This 253-nucleotide ribosomal RNA is filed under the name uncultured bacterium. Its description in RNAcentral is "partial 16S ribosomal RNA". It matches the Rfam family "Bacterial small subunit ribosomal RNA", at positions 524 to 776 of the family's 1533-position model. The record is from RNAcentral.
UACGGGGGGGGCAAGCGUUGUUCGGAAUUACUGGGCGUAAAGGGCUCGUAGGCGGCCGACUAAGUCGGAUGUGAAAUCCCCAGGCUCAACUUGGGAACUGCAUCCGAUACUGGAUGGCUUGAAUUCGGGAGAGGGAUGCAGAAUUCCAGGUGUAGCGGUGAAAUGCGUAGAUAUCUGGAGGAAUACCGGUGGCGAAGGCGGCAUCCUGGACCGACAUUGACGCUGAGGAGCGAAAGCUAGGGGAGCAAACGGG